Non-coding RNA from Podospora fimiseda, 106 nucleotides. The record is from the annotation of a GenBank genome assembly. NCBI's taxonomy places the organism in Eukaryota, Fungi, Ascomycota, Sordariomycetes, Sordariales, Podosporaceae.
GUCCCCGUAGCGCAAUGGUUAGCACCUAAAAUGACUUUAGCGUUUUGAUUUAUAUCCGAACUACCUAAGGCACCAGCAGACAUCGGUUCGAAUCCGACCGGGGACA